CCUACGGGUGGCUGCAGUGAGGAAUAUUGGUCAAUGGGCGCGAGCCUGAACCAGCCAAGUCGCGUGAAGGAUGACUGCCCUACGGGUUGUAAACUUCUUUUAUAGAGGAAUAAAGUGAGGCACGUGUGCCUUUUUGUAUGUACUUUAUGAAUAAGGAUCGGCUAACUCCGUGCCAGCAGCCGCGGUAAUACGGAGGAUCCGAGCGUUAUCCGGAUUUUUUGGGUUUAAAGGGUGCGUAGAUGGGUUGUUAAGUCAGUUGUGAAAGUUUGCGGCUCAACCGUAAAAUUGCAAUUGAUACUGGCAGCCUUGAGUGCAGUUGAGGUAGGCGGAAUGCGUGGUGUAGCGGUGAAAUGCUUAGAUAUCACGAAGAACUCCGAUUGCGAAGGCAGCUUACUAAACUGCCACUGACAUUGAUGCUCGAAAGUGUGGGUAUCAAACAGGAUUAGAUACCCUUGUAGUC
RNAcentral lists this ribosomal RNA (460 nucleotides) under uncultured bacterium. RNAcentral's name for it is "partial 16S ribosomal RNA". It matches the Rfam family "Bacterial small subunit ribosomal RNA", at positions 338 to 795 of the family's 1533-position model. The record is from RNAcentral.